This 2061-nucleotide long non-coding RNA is filed under the name Anas platyrhynchos platyrhynchos (common mallard). RNAcentral describes it as "lncRNA (ENSAPLG00000029473.1)". The record is from RNAcentral. Lineage: Eukaryota; Metazoa; Chordata; Aves; Anseriformes; Anatidae.
CUGGGCUUUUGUCCGUGUGUGUCAGCAUUGCCCUUUCAACUAAACUGCUUUCUCUUCCUUGGUUUUAACACCUCAGUGCAUUUAUAGGCAGUAAUCCUAUCUGUCUAGUUUUUGUUUGGCUAACAACACCCAACAAACCCCCCUUAGUCCUGUAUGAUAAACUCUCUUUUCCUGUCAUAUAGUGAUGCAGCACUUCUCUGCACCUCUUUGUUUGAUUUUUUUUCUUUCUUGAACGUAGGCAACAAAAACCAUGCAUAGUGGUUCCAGGUAACAUAUUACAGUGCAUCAGUGCUUCCCUCUCCCUACUGGAAUUACUCUGGAAUUACUUCUCUUGUCACUGCCUAUAAUCUUCUUCUCCCUCUCUCUUUUUUUUUUUUUUUUUUCUCCUGAGAUGCAUCAAAUCUUAUCAAUGGCUCAGAGACAUUCAUUGUCUGACAAAUACAAAUCCACCUUUCUUUUCCUCCCUUUUUGUUCCCAUUUUCAAUAGGUAGCAAGCAUUCUUGCUAUUGGUUUUUAAAUACAUCACCUUGGAAUUUGUCCUAGUUCAGCCAACCCCACCGUUUUACUGAGACCUGCAAGUUAACCAGAGCCCUACUGGGAUGCUUCCCACCUGUGGAAAUGCACUAAUUUAAUUAGUGCACACCCACUUCUUGGCCAUUAAUGAAAGUAUUUAAGGCACUUCAUUUGGAAUACUAUUCUUGAGUGCUAAUUUCCUGUUUGGCAUAAUUUGCCAGUGCCUGCCCUUUGGAAGCUUAGAAGGUUCCUUGUGCUAAUUUUCAUCUCACAGAAUAUGAAUCAAUUCCAUGAAGUAUUUUAUAGAAGAACGGGGCCUGUGUCUCAGACAAAAGUAGAGUGCAUUUUCUGGGUGCUCCUUGUUUCUUAGUAUCAAAGCUCCAGAUAGGCUGAAGAAACUACAGAGCUCUAGAUGCUGGUGACAACUGCCAACCCUUCAUCUUAAUGGACUGCAAAUAUCAACACAUCAGAAAAUUCCCAGCCAAGCUGGAAACAUUUUCAGCACUUGUAAAACAUUCACAAAUGCCAGCAGGCAGUUCUAAAAAUCAGAAUCACUCCAUCCUGCUCCCUGGUACGCAUAACCCAUAUACAUGGCAGGGGAAGGAAGAUAUCUGUUUUACACAGGCUGUGCAUUUCUGGCAGUACGCAGCUUUGCCACUCAUCUCAGAGCAAGGACAAAGACUUGGUGUACCCCUGAGGGGCUAUCCCAGUUCAGAGGAGACCCAAGAGGAGCAGGGAGGAGUAGGAGAACACAGCCUGCACCCAGGAGGAUGCUGAGACACCAGCCAUUUAGACUGGCUCAUCCUAACUGACAUGCAGUUUCCCACAGCUGGAAAGUACUAAGCUACAGUUAUUUGAAAAGCCUAUCAACUGGGGCUGAAAAUUCCCACAGAUAAGUCUUGCGCUGUGGAAGACAGUGACAAAAUUCCCACAAAUUUCAAACAAGACAAGAGCUCACAUAUUCUCUGGAACAUAUUGCAGAAGACUUUCUGCUAAUUUCUGAAGGAGACCUGAAGAGUACAAAGAUGCUUUAGAAAGAUUCAAAAAAAAAAAAAAAAAGAGAGAGAGAGAGAGAAGUAAACAUAUUACUCUCAGCUCUUUGGAACAAUUAAAAUGUAAAGAGAAGUACCAUUUUAGUUACACACAUAGGUGCUUAACAGAGAAACUGCUCACAAUAUAUCUAAAUCCCCAACUGUUUUUGCCACAGCAGGAUUAGAUACCAGGCAUAAAGUAGUGUUCUGGCAAGGAGCCAGCGCAUUCCUGGAUUGCACAUAUGUUAGAUAUGCCUGGCGUUUAUUACAACAGUGCAAGAGCACCUCUAUAGUCAAGGGUCAGUGAGCAUUUCCAUUAUAAACAAAGAAGUUAAGGCUCUAAUAGCUUACUUGUUUCAAAGUCUCAGUGAAGAAUUGCAAAAAAAAUGUGUAUUGAAAAGCCUGACAAAAAAAUGUUAUUAGAGAAUUUUAGUUCAGAGAUCUUCCAACCCCAAUUUUUCCAGAGCCUGUAAAAAAGUAAAAUAAAAUAGCCUGUAAUAUUGUUUUUUUUUAAGCU